AUUGAACGCUGGCGGCAGGCCUAACACAUGCAAGUCGAGCGGAUGAAGGGAGCUUGCUCCUGGAUUCAGCGGCGGACGGGUGAGUAAUGCCUAGGAAUCUGCCUGGUAGUGGGGGAUAACGUCCGGAAACGGGCGCUAAUACCGCAUACGUCCUGAGGGAGAAAGUGGGGGAUCUUCGGACCUCACGCUAUCAGAUGAGCCUAGGUCGGAUUAGCUAGUUGGUGGGGUAAAGGCCUACCAAGGCGACGAUCCGUAACUGGUCUGAGAGGAUGAUCAGUCACACUGGAACUGAGACACGGUCCAGACUCCUACGGGAGGCAGCAGUGGGGAAUAUUGGACAAUGGGCGAAAGCCUGGUCCAGCCAUGCCGCGUGUGUGAAGAAGGUCUUCGGAUUGUAAAGCACUUUAAGUCGGGAGGAAGGGCAGUAAGUUAAUACCUUGCUGUUUUGACGUUACCAACAGAAUAAGCACCGGCUAACUUCGUG
Molecule: ribosomal RNA, 484 nt
Filed under: uncultured bacterium
Lineage: Bacteria
Description: partial 16S ribosomal RNA
Rfam family: Bacterial small subunit ribosomal RNA
Source: RNAcentral